CGAACGCUGGCGGCAGGUUUUAGGCAUGCAAGUCGAACGGGUGUAGCAAUACACUAGUGGCGAACGAGUGAGUAACGCGUGGGAAGCUACCCAUUACUGGGGAAUAACGUUUGGAAACGAACGCUAAUACCGCAUACUCCGGAAACGGGAAAGAUUUAUCGGUAGUGGAUGUGCCCGCGUUGGAUUAGCUUGUUGGUGGGGUAAUGGCCUACCAAGGCGAUGAUCCAUAGCUGGUCUUAGAGGACGAUCAGCCACGCUGGAACUGAGACACGGUCCAGACUCCUACGGGAGGCAGCAGCUAAGAGUAUUGGACAAUGGGGGAAACCCUGAUCCAGCCAUGCCGCGUGAAUGAAGAAGGCCUUCGGGUUGUAAAGUUCUUUUGGUUGUGAAGAUGAUGACAGUAGCAGCAGAAAAAGCACCGGCUAACUUCGUGC
RNAcentral lists this ribosomal RNA (434 nucleotides) under alpha proteobacterium oral taxon A28. RNAcentral describes it as "bacterial SSU rRNA". It matches the Rfam family "Bacterial small subunit ribosomal RNA", at positions 30 to 508 of the family's 1533-position model. Lineage: Bacteria; Pseudomonadati; Pseudomonadota; Alphaproteobacteria. The record is from RNAcentral.